GACGAACGCUGGCGGCGUGCUUAACACAUGCAAGUCGAACGGAAAGGCCCUGCUUUUGUGGGGUGCUCGAGUGGCGAACGGGUGAGUAACACGUGAGUAACCUGCCCUUGACUUUGGGAUAACUUCAGGAAACUGGGGCUAAUACCGGAUAGGAGCUCCUGCUGCAUGGUGGGGGUUGGAAAGUUUCGGCGGUUGGGGAUGGACUCGCGGCUUAUCAGCUUGUUGGUGGGGUAGUGGCUUACCAAGGCUUUGACGGGUAGCCGGCCUGAGGGGGUGACCGGCCACAUUGGGACUGAGAUACGGCCCAGACCCCUACGGGAGGCAGCAGUGGGGAAUAUUGCACAAUGGGCGGAAGCCUGAUGCAGCAACGCCGCGUGCGGGAUGACGGCCUUCGGGUUGUAAACCGCUUUCGCCUGUGACGAAGCGUGAGUGACGGUAAUGGGUAAAGAAGCACCGGCUAACUACGUG
RNAcentral lists this ribosomal RNA (468 nucleotides) under uncultured bacterium. RNAcentral describes it as "partial 16S ribosomal RNA". It matches the Rfam family "Bacterial small subunit ribosomal RNA", at positions 28 to 507 of the family's 1533-position model. The record is from RNAcentral.